RNAcentral lists this ribosomal RNA (301 nucleotides) under uncultured bacterium. Its description in RNAcentral is "partial 16S ribosomal RNA". It matches the Rfam family "Bacterial small subunit ribosomal RNA", at positions 509 to 808 of the family's 1533-position model. The record is from RNAcentral.
CAGUAGCCGCGGGAAAACGUAGGGGGCAAGCGUUGUCCGGAAUUAUUGGGCGUAAAGCGCGCGCAGGCGGUCAUGUAAGUCUGGUGUUUAAUCCCGGGGCUCAACCCCGGAUCGCACUGGAAACUGGGUGACUUGAGUGCAGAAGAGGAGAGUGGAAUUCCACGUGUAGCGGUGAAAUGCGUAGAGAUGUGGAGGAACACCAGUGGCGAAGGCGACUCUCUGGGCUGUAACUGACGCUGAGGCGCGAAAGCGUGGGGAGCAAACAGGAUUAGAUACCCCAGUAGUCCCUGUCUCUUAUACA